ACCCUGUUGAGCUUGACUCUAGUCUGACGUUGUGAAAUGACUUGGGAGGUGUAGCAUAAGUGGGAGGGCUUGCCCGAUCUUGAAAUACCACUACUUCCAACGUUGUUUUACUUAUUCCGUGAAGUACAGCCCCCCAGUUAACGCUGGGGGUUCUAGCAUUAAGCUUGGGCUUCGGCCUGGGUGAUGUAAUUGGGAGACAACGUCAGGUGGGGAGUUUGGCUGGGG
Molecule: ribosomal RNA, 225 nt
Filed under: Symbiodinium sp. clade A
Lineage: Eukaryota; Dinophyceae; Suessiales; Symbiodiniaceae
Description: partial Eukaryotic large subunit ribosomal RNA
Rfam family: Eukaryotic large subunit ribosomal RNA
Source: RNAcentral